RNAcentral lists this ribosomal RNA (1205 nucleotides) under metagenome. RNAcentral's name for it is "bacterial SSU rRNA". It matches the Rfam family "Bacterial small subunit ribosomal RNA", at positions 185 to 1410 of the family's 1533-position model. The record is from RNAcentral.
ACCAUAUGGUAAAUCGGGAAAGUUUUUUCGCUAAGAGAUCGGUCUAUAUCGCAUCAGUUAGUUGGUGGGGUAAGAGCUUACCAAGACAAUGACGCGUAGCGGGUUUGAGAGGAUGAUCCGCCACACUGGUACUGAGACACGGACCAGACUCCUACGGGAGGCAGCAGUGAGGAAUAUUGCACAAUGGGGGAAACCCUGAUGCAGCAACGCCGCGUGGAGGAUGACGCAUUUCGGUGUGUAAACUCCUUUUAUAUGUCAAGAAAAUGACGGUAGCAUAUGAAUAAGCACCGGCUAACUCCGUGCCAGCAGCCGCGGUAAUACGGAGGGUGCAAGCGUUAUUCGGAAUCACUGGGCGUAAAGGACGCGUAGGCGGGUUGCCAAGUCAGGUGUGAAAUCCUACAGCUUAACUGUAGAACUGCACUUGAAACUGGUUACCUAGAGUAUGGAAGGGGGAGAUGGAAUUAGUGGUGUAGGGGUAAAAUCCGUAGAUAUCACUAGGAAUACCGAAAGCGAAGGCGAUCUCCUGGAACAUAACUGACGCUAAGGCGUGAAAGCGUGGGGAGCAAACAGGAUUAGAUACCCUGGUAGUCCACGCCCUAAACGAUGAACACUAGUCGUCGGGGUACUAGUUACUUCGGUGAUGCACUUAACAGAUUAAGUGUUCCGCCUGGGGAGUACGGUCGCAAGAUUAAAACUCAAAGGAAUAGACGGGGACCCGCACAAGUGGUGGAGCAUGUGGUUUAAUUCGAAAAUACGCGAAGAACCUUACCUAGCCUUGACAUUGAUAGAAUACCCUAGAGAUAGAGUAGUGCCCUUCGGGGAGCUUGAAAACAGGUGCUGCACGGCUGUCGUCAGCUCGUGUCGUGAGAUGUUGGGUUAAGUCCCGCAACGAGCGCAACCCUCGUCCUUAGUUGCCAGCAGUUCGGCUGGGCACUCUAAGGAGACUGCCUUCGCAAGGAGGAGGAAGGUGAGGACGACGUCAAGUCAUCAUGGCCCUUAUGGCUAGGGCUACACACGUGCUACAAUGGGGCGUACAGAGAUUUGCGAUACCGCGAGGUGGAGCCAAUCUCAUAAAGCGUCUCUCAGUUCGGAUUGUAGUCUCAACUCGACUACAUGAAGCUGGAAUCACUAGUAAUCGUAGAUCAGCAAUGCUACGGUGAAUACGUUCCCGGGUCUUGUACUCACCGCCCGUCACACCAUGGGAG